RNAcentral lists this long non-coding RNA (1507 nucleotides) under Gossypium barbadense (sea-island cotton). Its description in RNAcentral is "long non-coding RNA (GBAR_LNC021858)". The record is from RNAcentral. Lineage: Eukaryota; Viridiplantae; Streptophyta; Magnoliopsida; Malvales; Malvaceae.
UUUUUUUUCUUCUCUUUCUUUCUCCUUUCUCUAUUCUCUUUCUCUCUUUUUCUUUUCUUUUUUCGGCACAACCCUCUCCUUCUUCUUCUUCUUCUCCUUUCCUUUCUUCUCUUUCGUGCAGCUUAAGUGAAAGUGAAUUUAGAGACCAUUAUAAGUUCCCCAAAAGGCGGGAAAACAUGUCACAAGUGUCGCCUGUGGCAGACCCUCGACUAAAGUCCUGUCACUUCCGUCAGCUUUUUUUUAUUGUUUGUACCAUUUUAGUACAUAAUAAAAUGGUUCUAUUAUUUUAAUAUUAUUUUAAUUUUUUUUUGUAUUAUUUAUAAAAAAAAACCCUCCAAAUGACAAGACGUUCAUGAGCUAGAUCAGUGAGCUGUUUGACAAAGGAGAGCAACGUGUACAGAUUGUCAUUUUAUCAAGAUGGGUCAUCUGGAAUUCUAGAAACGGAAUAAUACAUGAAAGAUAUGAUCAGCCAAUUCAAUCACUACUUACCUUUAUAUUGGGAUAUGCCUGGGAACUGCAAUCCUUAUCGACGGAAGGUGGGGGUUGUAGGGCGCCUAUUUUGGAAGUUUGGAGACCGCCAGUGGAACCAUGGGUUCGGGUGAACUUUGAUGCGGGUUUCUAUGGUGAUCUAUAAGCAUCGAGCAUAGGGAUCGCUGUUAGAAAUCAUAUGGGUUUACUGUUGGGCGCAGUUUAUUUCUGGAGAGAGCACAUACCUUCGAUAGUGGCUGUAGAGGCUUUGUCUGGCUCGUAGGCUAUCCAAUUUGCUCGGGAUCUAGGAUUUCGUUCUGUGGAGAUUGAGGGCGACUCCGCCGUAGUGAUUGCAAAAUUAAAUAGUUCGGGGAUUGACUGAUCGGGGGUGAGCAGUUACAUUUGGGACGCUAAACAGUUAGUCUUGGGCUUUGAACAUUUCAAAUUUCAACAUAUUAAGCGCGGUGGUAACAGGGUUGCUCACCUUUUAGCACGGGAAGGAUUUCUCCGGAAACGCGAUGUCUGCUGGAUUGAGGAUGGUCCGACGUUGAUUCAGGCGAAGUUGCUGAAAAAGGUGAGGUCAGAUUCAUUUCCUCUUAUUCGUUAAUACCUUGUUUUGUGCAGAGUUGGAUUAUGUAGUGAAAGAGCACUGUGGUUAAGCUGUUUCAACUGGUUCCUAUGGAUGAUGAUUGAAAAGUGAAGGGGAGCAUUGUAAUGUCCCUUCAACUGUUUGCUGUUACUUUUUCUUCGGUUUAUUAAUUGUUUUUCUUCGCUCCUUGUGUUUCCUAUGGAUGGUUUACUGAAACCAUGGGUUGUGUUUCUUCAUUUUUGCUUUUAAUAAAUAGCAAGCUGUUUUAUAUAAUAUAUAAAAAUAAAACAUCCAACAACUAGUUUAAACUUUUUCCCAAUGGUUUUUUUUUUCAAUAGGUUAUAAUUUUGUCUUCUUCUUUCUUUUCAUUCAAAUCCUAUUCUUAUAUUCUCUAUUUUUUCAUUAAAUCUCAAAUUCUUCUUGUCUCAAUAUUAUAUUUUAUAAUUUCUU